Molecule: non-coding RNA, 72 nt
Organism: Dipodomys ordii (Ord's kangaroo rat)
Lineage: Eukaryota; Metazoa; Chordata; Mammalia; Rodentia; Heteromyidae
Source: Rfam
GGGAAGGUGGCUCAGUGGUAAAGUACUUGCUUUGCAUGCAUGAGGCCUGGGGUUCUAUUCCUCAUCACCACA